AAAUGCGAUAAGUAAUGUGAAUUGCAGAAUUCAGUGAAUCAUCGAAUCUUUGAACGCACCUUGCGCUCCUUGGUAUUCCUUGGAGCAUGCCUGUUUGAGUAUCAUGAAAUCUUCAAAGUAAAUCUUUUGUUAACUCAAUUGGUUUCUACUUUGGUAUUGGAGGUCUUUGCAGCUUCACACCUGCUCCUCUUUGUUCAUUAGCUGGAUCUCAGUGUUAUGCUUGGUUCCACUCGGCGUGAUAAGUUAUCUAUCGCUGAGGACACUGUAAAAGGUGGCCAAGGUAUAUGCAGAUGAACCGCUUCUAAUAGUCCAUUGACUUGGACAAUACUUUUAUGAUCUGAUCUCAAAUCAGGUAGGACUACCCGCUGAACUUAAGC
This 377-nucleotide unclassified non-coding RNA is filed under the name plant metagenome. Its description in RNAcentral is "partial contains 5.8S ribosomal RNA, internal transcribed spacer 2, and large subunit ribosomal RNA". The stretch from base 1 to 104 matches the Rfam family "5.8S ribosomal RNA", at positions 51 to 154 of the family's 154-position model. The record is from RNAcentral.